This 254-nucleotide ribosomal RNA is filed under the name uncultured bacterium. Its description in RNAcentral is "partial 16S ribosomal RNA". It matches the Rfam family "Bacterial small subunit ribosomal RNA", at positions 524 to 776 of the family's 1533-position model. The record is from RNAcentral.
UACGAAGGGUGCAAGCGUUACUCGGAAUUACUGGGCGUAAAGCGUGCGUAGGUGGUCGUUUAAGUCUGUUGUGAAAGCCCUGGGCUCAACCUGGGAACUGCAGUGGAAACUGGACGACUAGAGUGUGGUAGAGGGUAGCGGAAUUCCCGGGUGUAGCAGUGAAAUGCGUAGAGAUCGGGAGGAACAUCCAUGGCGAAGGCAGCUACCUGGACCAACACUGACACUGAGGCACGAAAGCGUGGGGAGCAAACAGG